CCUAGAACGUUGAAGAGGAGAAGUAAAGGGAUCGCUCCUUUCUUGCAGAGACAAUCACCCAGGCUGAAAGUGGUUGAAGGAGCUCUUUUGAAAUGCACCUCUGAGUCUCUUGUUGAAUUGUAGUAAACAAGAGCGGUACUCUCCCGUUAUGAGAGGCGAGUUGGAGAUAAGUACGUUUUAUCUCAAACAGAGUGGAACCGCGCAUGAAGCGUCUCUGUG
RNAcentral lists this non-coding RNA (219 nucleotides) under Pontibacillus chungwhensis. RNAcentral's name for it is "T-box sequence". It matches the Rfam family "T-box leader". From Rfam's summary of the family: Uncharged tRNA acts as the effector for transcription antitermination of genes in the T-box leader family. T-boxes are found upstream of many aminoacyl-tRNA synthetase genes and some amino acid biosynthetic genes usually in Gram-positive bacteria. Lineage: Bacteria; Bacillati; Bacillota; Bacilli; Caryophanales; Bacillaceae. The record is from RNAcentral.